RNAcentral lists this long non-coding RNA (440 nucleotides) under Setaria viridis. RNAcentral's name for it is "long non-coding RNA (SVIR_LNC001798)". The record is from RNAcentral. Lineage: Eukaryota; Viridiplantae; Streptophyta; Magnoliopsida; Poales; Poaceae.
AAUACGAGGGUUUCCAUGAUGAAGAUUUGUCCCCGGUCUAUCUUGAAGCUAAGUGCAAGUCUCCUCCAAAAGAAACACAACUUGAGGCUACUAUUGCCCCUCCACACUGUAACGACCGACCCCUAAGCCUUCCCAGUUAGGCUUGAUCUCAGCCCUUAACCUUAGUCAGCUGUUUUGUUUGACCGCACCUAAGCGCCCAGUUUUCCGCCGAUCCCGACCCCUGAGAUCCGACCCCUACCUGCUUCGCUCCUCUCCCGACCCCGGCGAGCUCAGUCCGCCCUCGGAUCCUGCUGAUCUUCCUCACCCGUCCGAUCUACCCACCGGUGGACCCGCGAGAUCUUUCUCCAGAUCCCCCGCGCCAGCCGCACUCGAGUUGCAUGGCCGCCUCAGAGUCUUCCUGCCGCAUGGCCCGUCUUCUCCGACGCCAUCGCCCAGUUUUG